GCCUCCGUAGCUCACCGGAUAGAGCAGGUGCCUUCUAAGCACUUGGUAGCAGGUUCGAUUCCUGCCGGGGGCG
Molecule: transfer RNA, 73 nt
Filed under: Chthonomonadales bacterium
Lineage: Bacteria; Bacillati; Armatimonadota; Chthonomonadia; Chthonomonadales
Also listed under: 1 other name
Description: tRNA-Arg
Rfam family: tRNA
About the family: Transfer RNA (tRNA) molecules are approximately 80 nucleotides in length. Their secondary structure includes four short double-helical elements and three loops (D, anti-codon, and T loops).
Source: RNAcentral